Molecule: long non-coding RNA, 189 nt
Organism: Saccostrea cuccullata (small rock oyster)
Lineage: Eukaryota; Metazoa; Mollusca; Bivalvia; Ostreida; Ostreidae
Exons: 3
Source: RefSeq, a predicted model, not a curated record
AUUAACUGAAGUACCUACAAACAUCCCCACAAAUACAUGUGUCUUAUCCCUAGGUGUCAACCAGAUAACCACCAUUCCAGACAAUGCCUUUAAUGGAUUGCCAAAUUUACAGACACUGUACAUCUAUGGAAAUCAAAUAACUGUAUUAGACAAAAGAUUUUUCAAAGAUCUUCCAAAAUUAGAAGUAUU